GAACGCUCGUAGCAAUACGGGAGUGGCAGACGGGUGAGUAACGCGUGGGAACAUACCCUCCGGUUCGGAAUAGCUCAGGGAAACUUGGAUUAAUACCGGAUACGGCCGAGAGGCGAAAGAUUUAUCGCCGGAGGAUUGGCCCGCGUUCGAUUAGCUUGUUGGUGAGGUAACGGCUCACCAAGGCGAUGAUCGAUAGCUGGUCUGAGAGGAUGAUCAGCCGCAUUGGGACUGAGACACGGCCCAAACUCCUACGGGAGGCAGCAGUGGGGAAUAUUGGACAAUGGGCGCAAGCCUGAUCCAGCCAUGCCGCGUGAGUGAUGAAGGCCUUAGGGUUGUAAAGCUCUUUCGCUCGGGACGAUAAUGACGGUACCGAGAUAAGAAGCCCCGGCUAACUUCGUGCCAGCAGCCGCGGUAAUACGAAGGGGGCUAGCGUUGUUCGGAAUUACUGGGCGUAAAGCGCGUGUAGGCGGGUCUUUAAGUCAGGGGUGAAAUGCCAAGGCUCAACCUUGGAACUGCCUUUGAUACUGGAGAUCUUGAGUCCGGGAGAGGUGAGUGGAAUUGCGAGUGUAGAGGUGAAAUUCGUAGAUAUUCGCAAGAACACCAGUGGCGAAGGCGGCUCACUGGCCCGGAACUGACGCUGAGACGCGAAAGCGUGGGGA
This 659-nucleotide ribosomal RNA is filed under the name uncultured forest soil bacterium. RNAcentral's name for it is "bacterial SSU rRNA". It matches the Rfam family "Bacterial small subunit ribosomal RNA", at positions 64 to 767 of the family's 1533-position model. The record is from RNAcentral.